Molecule: non-coding RNA, 83 nt
Organism: Nanorana parkeri
Lineage: Eukaryota; Metazoa; Chordata; Amphibia; Anura; Dicroglossidae
Source: the annotation of a RefSeq genome assembly
GUCAGGAUGGCCAAGCGGUCUAAGGCGCUGUGUUAACGUCGCAGUCUCCCCUGGAGGCGUGGGUUUAAAUCCCACUUCUGACA